This 64-nucleotide transfer RNA is filed under the name Bruchidius uberatus. Its description in RNAcentral is "tRNA-Thr". The record is from RNAcentral. Lineage: Eukaryota; Metazoa; Arthropoda; Insecta; Coleoptera; Chrysomelidae.
AUAAAAUAAAUAUUAACAUUAAGUUUUAAUAAUUUAAUUAAAAUAUUGGUCUUGUAAACCAAAA